This 65-nucleotide transfer RNA is filed under the name Paracaecilius japanus. RNAcentral describes it as "tRNA-Pro". It matches the Rfam family "tRNA". From Rfam's summary of the family: Transfer RNA (tRNA) molecules are approximately 80 nucleotides in length. Lineage: Eukaryota; Metazoa; Arthropoda; Insecta; Psocodea; Caeciliusidae. The record is from RNAcentral.
CAGAAUAUAGUUUAAGAAAAAUAUUAGUUUUGGAGACUAAAGAUAAUUAGAAUAUUUUAUUCUGA